Molecule: long non-coding RNA, 898 nt
Filed under: Aquilegia coerulea
Lineage: Eukaryota; Viridiplantae; Streptophyta; Magnoliopsida; Ranunculales; Ranunculaceae
Description: long non-coding RNA (ACOE_LNC001305)
Source: RNAcentral
UUAGUCAAAGUAUAUUUGUGAAUUUUGGAAUCCUAUAUUAAAUAAAUUGACAUGUAUAUUAAGUAUCAUUGUUAGUAUAGGGUUUAACUAAGCACUCUUAUUAAUUUGAAUGCAGGUAAUUUUUGAGGCAAACCAGAAUACGACCACAAACGAAAAUUCUUUCGUUGAUUAUCUUGAGAGUUGUUUGUAAACGCAAAGCUGAGAUAUUUGAAACCACUAGAGCAAUCUAAUAAUAGAGCUAAGUGCCAUGCAUACUUUGAGAACUAACUCUUGUUAUCAUUGUGCUACAACUCUUUAUUAGUUCAUCUAAGUGUGUGCUCGGUUUUGCUCUGGAUUGUUAAUAAGGUUAGACUUAUGUGGACGUUAUUUUCCUUAUAUCUGUGCGUGUGCAUGUCUUGGACAUAUCUGGUCAUCAUAGUGUUCCUGUCCUUAUUGGCAAUUCAAUGAAUAUUGUUUAUAUUCUAUUAUCUUUUAAUUGUCGAGCUUUACAGAUAGUAUUUUAGCAAUUUGAAGCAGUUUAAUGUUGUGAGUUCAAAAAUAUUUUUGGUGUUUGUUCCUUUAAUUCUAAUUAGUUUCAUUUCAUGUAUUCAGGAUACCAUAUGCAUUUUGAAGAGAUGGAAGGAUCUAAUGGUUUUCUUAUCUUAUGGUCAAGUUAAUAUAUGCAGUUUGGUUUCUUGCCACUACAUGUUUCUGGAUGGGCCAACUGGUUUGUUUUCGUUGGUUUUAUACUUUUAUGUUGUGUACAAGUUAUAAGAAAUGAAUCGCUACAUUCGAUAUGUCAUCAAUUUGAUUAUGAAUCAAGAUUUAACAUGUCAUCAAUUUUUUUAUAUGUCCAUGUAAUGGUAUUGUGUUAUCUAAAUUAUUUAGAUAUUAAUUGCAAUGCUUAGUAUGUUUUGCC